Molecule: ribosomal RNA, 274 nt
Filed under: uncultured bacterium
Lineage: Bacteria
Description: partial 16S ribosomal RNA
Rfam family: Bacterial small subunit ribosomal RNA
Source: RNAcentral
AUACGGAGGGUGCAAGCGUUGUUCGGAAUCACUGGGCGUAAAGGGCGCGCAGGCGGUUUGGUAAGUCAGAUGUGAAAGCCCACGGCUCAACCGUGGAAGUGCAUUUGAAACUGCCAGACUUGAGUACCAGAGGGGAAAGUGGAAUUCCCGGUGUAGAGGUGAAAUUCGUAGAUAUCGGGAGGAAUACCGGUGGCGAAGGCGACUUUCUGGCUGGAUACUGACGCUGAGGCGCGAAAGCGUGGGGAGCAAACAGAAUUAGAAACCCCAGUAGUCC